GACGAACGCUGGCGGCGUGCUUAACACAUGCAAGUCGAACGGUAAGGCCCUUCGGGGUACACGAGUGGCGAACGGGUGAGUAACACGUGGGUGAUCUGCCCUGCACUUCGGGAUAAGCCUGGGAAACUGGGUCUAAUACCGGAUAGGACCCUGGGAUGCAUGUCCUGGGGUGGAAAGCUUUUGCGGUGUGGGAUGGGCCCGCGGCCUAUCAGCUUGUUGGUGGGGUGAUGGCCUACCAAGGUGACGACGGGUAGCCGGCCUGAGAGGGUGACCGGCCUAACUGGGACUGAGAUACGGCCCAGACUCCUACGGGAGGCAGCAGUGGGGAAUAUUGCACAAUGGGCGCAAGCCUGAUGCAGCGACGCCGCGUGAGGGAUGACGGCCUUCGGGUUGUAAACCUCUUUCAGCACCGACGAAGCGCAAGUGACGGUAGGUGCAGAAGAAGGACCGGCCAACUACGUGCCAGCCGCCGCAGUAA
This 478-nucleotide ribosomal RNA is filed under the name uncultured bacterium. Its description in RNAcentral is "partial 16S ribosomal RNA". It matches the Rfam family "Bacterial small subunit ribosomal RNA", at positions 28 to 523 of the family's 1533-position model. The record is from RNAcentral.